This 72-nucleotide transfer RNA is filed under the name Ictidomys tridecemlineatus (thirteen-lined ground squirrel). RNAcentral describes it as "Spermophilus tridecemlineatus (thirteen-lined ground squirrel) tRNA". It matches the Rfam family "tRNA". From Rfam's summary of the family: Transfer RNA (tRNA) molecules are approximately 80 nucleotides in length. Their secondary structure includes four short double-helical elements and three loops (D, anti-codon, and T loops). Further hydrogen bonds mediate the characteristic L-shaped molecular structure. tRNAs have two regions of fundamental functional importance: the anti-codon, which is responsible for specific mRNA codon recognition, and the 3' end, to which the tRNAs corresponding amino acid is attached (by aminoacyl-tRNA synthetases). tRNAs cope with the degeneracy of the genetic code in two manners: having more than one tRNA (with a specific anti-codon) for a particular amino acid; and 'wobble' base-pairing, i.e. permitting non-standard base-pairing at the 3rd anti-codon position. Lineage: Eukaryota; Metazoa; Chordata; Mammalia; Rodentia; Sciuridae. The record is from Rfam by way of RNAcentral.
GAGGGUAUAGCUUAGUGGUAAAGCUCUUGCCUAGCAUGUGUGAGGCCCAGGGUUUAAUCCCCAGUACAAUUU